This 253-nucleotide ribosomal RNA is filed under the name uncultured bacterium. RNAcentral's name for it is "partial 16S ribosomal RNA". It matches the Rfam family "Bacterial small subunit ribosomal RNA", at positions 524 to 776 of the family's 1533-position model. The record is from RNAcentral.
UACGAAGGUGGCAAGCGUUACUCGGAAUUACUAGGCGUAAAGGGCAGGUAGGUGGUUCGGUAAGUCUGUUGUGAAAGCUCCUGGCUUAACUGGGAGAGGUCAACAGAAACUACCGGGCUUGAGUAUAGGAGAGGGUACUGGAAUUCCCGGUGUAGCGGUGAAAUGCGCAGAGAUCGGGAGGAACACCAAUGGCGAAAGCAAUCCCCUGGGCCUGCACUGACGCUCAUGCACGAAAGCGUGGGGAGCAAACAGG